CAUCAUCUUUCUUUACAAAUUAUCCAGUUCCAUUUGUUUGGGGCGUUUUCUUCCUUAACUCCCAUGGAAAAAUAAAUACAUCAUUUUUUUUUUGAACUGUGGGUGGAAUGAACUCUUUAGAAAUUGAUAUGGGCAUCCUCUUGGCUAGAUUCCUGCCACUCAACCAAGUAAAGGAACUCACGCGGCUGCAGGACUAAGCUCCUCCCACGUCUGCCGCUGUGGUUGGAUGUGCAGGCUGAGAGCGUCGUCUUGGAUCCUAGCACCGUGCCUAGCACACAGUAGGUGUUCAGCACAUGCCUGCUAGACUGACAUGUCAGAUAGUGUUUCAGUUUACCCAGUAGUCAUGAGUGUCAGAAUAGCUGGCUGUCGGCUGGAGCUCGGAGUACAUUCCAGGGUAAGUAUUAAUGUUUCAGCGCUGCUGCGUGCAAAUCAUACUGUUCUGUAUUCCCUCUUCCCACCACAAAAUGUGUUUAUGUGGAUUAAAUAGGGUUAUUAGGGGUAGCAGGGAUAAUCAAACCCAAGUUCUACCAUACAGUCACUUUUGCCCGGUGAGCUUAAUUUAGACACAUAGAGGUCAAAUUACAAAUGGCUGAGCUCACAGAAGCUUCAGUUUCUGGUUCUAGCCACAGGGGGAGAAAGCAGAGCUGGAGACAUUCCCAGUUUCUAGGUUCUCAUACAAAAACCAACUGGCUGCCACAGCACAGUCACCGAAGAGGGAAGAAGACAAGCAGAGGUAAUGUGCAGAGGAAAAUGUAUGGCUGACACUCUGAAGAAUCGACAGAGGACUUGCUGGUUACCAAGCAACGUGCUACCUAAGCUUUGCCUCUGCGUAAUUCUGCCAAUACUUCUUGCAGUUGAUGAGCUCAAGUGUAGCCCUGUGAGCUUGUGAGUGCGUGUAUGUGUGUGUGUGUGUGCAUGUGUGUGUGUUUUGGGGAGCAGAGACACUACAGGCACAGAGUAGCUCAUUCAGACUGCUUUUUAUAGGCAUUAAGCAAUAAGCUCCCAUAAUAAACAGCCAUGCCACAGUUAAUACUCAAUAAACAGUAUGGUUUAUAAGCAAUUAGGGACCCAAAUCUCAAAAUAAGACAGUUCAGCAGAAUGAGAGCAUCCACUCUAACAAGGCUCAGUAAGAUACGUGGCUUGUUAAAAGUGUCAUAAUUCUCCUUUAAAAAGCAAUUAACAGUUUGGUAUAUUUUGGACUGCCAAACACAGAGUUUCUUAAUCAAAUGUGAACACAAUCAAAGAGCCGCUUCUCAGCUUUACAUAAUGGACAGUCAAGUACGCAGAAAGCACAGCUGAAAUUAAAGGAUGAAUUGAUGUUCGCUCCUGUUUGUUUAUCAACCUGUGAGUCCACUGAAGACAUCAAGAUGAGUCAGAUAAAUGCAUUUUGUCAGGUUUUCAAAGAAAGCCAGCCAGCUACUCUAUUUUGCCAAGGUCUUUGUAUUUCCUAGUAACUUCGUAAGUUAAAAAAAUAUGUUUUCCAGCUCCUUCUUUAAAUUGUAGGUAGGUGAUUGGAGAAAUAACACACGUUUGCUUGUUUGUCUUUCAUAACCACAGACACAAACAAGCAUCUAGUCCUUACUCCGUGCAGCUGCAGGAACAUCACUGCCUCUUACUGGAUUCGUUGCGAGGUAUUUUGCAACAGGAUUCCAAUGCCCAGUUGCGGAUUUCCUUUACCUACCAUAUCUGAGGCCCAGCAACCCUAUUUUUAAAUACACUUGCAAGUGAUAUAAGCUUCCAGCACUAUGUACAAGGUGAUGGGUUGCUGGACAGAGACCGAUGUAUUUCCUUCUUCAGGGACUUAGCAUCCAAGACAGAUUUACAAAUGACUACACAUUUCCUGUUAAAGCACAUUGAAAUGAAUGCACAGUAGAUCAAUACUAUGGGCCUUCUAAAAUCACUUAUUUGACUCUCUUAUCUAUAAAUUGAGUAAUUUUAAAAAUUAAGAACGGAGAGAAAUGUGCAGAGAGGACGAAAACUUUAAUGUGUACUUAGAUAGUUGGAAAUGUCAAAUUAAACCAAAUUUAAAAAUUGAUCCCUCCUUCUUCUGUUCCCACCAGCUCCAGGCAUUUAUGAUGUUGUUCUAGGAAAGUAUCUGUUGAAAUUCCUGCACUUUAUGACAUUCCCCCUUUCUAUCCAGCUUAAUGCGUGGGUAGUAGAAUGUAAAUGUAUUCAUAUUUACCAGCAUUAGAAGCCUCAAUUUCAUCUGUAAAAUAACCAAAGUGAAACGGAUAAUUUCUAGUAUUUUUUCUCUGGCAACCUAUGAUUCAGCAAAUCACUGAACUCUUAAAAAUUUUCAUAACGUAUAUGGAGGUUUAGGAAAGUGAAAUCAGUACAGAAAAAAAUAAGUAAUGUGUUCCAGAGACUUCUUUGAAAGACAAGUAUAAAUAUUCAGACUAAAAACCAAAGUUCAAAUGAACUGAAGUUUAGAAAAUCUUCUAAGCCAAACUUCUGGGACAGUGAAUUAAUUUUCAUAGUCAGGAUUGGGGGACUAUUCAGAAUAGGCUGAGAAAAUUCUAUUCUUCUUCCUACUGGGAAUAUUUAGAAGGUCACUACACCAACAUCACACCAACCUCCAUCUAGAUAAGUAUGAAUAGUCCUCAAGCCAAUGGAUGUUGAUAUAUUUUAUCCACUCCACGAGCAUUUAAAAGGUGUGCCGCACGUUCCGUGUCUCAGGCAUUAUACUCUCUGGGGUGAUUCUAAUCACCUCUCCCUUUAUCCCCACUCUGCUGUACUCACUUUCCAAUUCUGAACACGAGAGUUGGAGACCAACUCAUGGAUGUCUUAGCUUCCUAAGAGAGGAGGCAUGUAGGGUCCUAAGGACUCAUUCAGGAAUGCCAAAGUUCCUCUCUCCUUAGCAGAGUGUAGAGGAUUAGCCAGAGUUUGAAGAAAUAUCUUAGUUCUUUGGAAUUCAGCCCACAGAAUGGAAUGUGGCAGACGUGUCCUUCUUAAAAC
This 2955-nucleotide long non-coding RNA is filed under the name Pan troglodytes (chimpanzee). RNAcentral describes it as "lncRNA (ENSPTRG00000054279.1)". Lineage: Eukaryota; Metazoa; Chordata; Mammalia; Primates; Hominidae. The record is from RNAcentral.